GAUGAACGCUGGCGGCGUGCUUAACACAUGCAAGUCGAACGGUGAAGGCGGAGCUUGCUCUGCUGGAUCAGUGGCGAACGGGUGAGUAACACGUGAGCAAUCUGCCCCUGACUCUGGGAUAAGCGCUGGAAACGGCGUCUAAUACUGGAUACGAGCUGCGAAGGCAUCUUCAGCAGCUGGAAAGAACUUCGGUCAGGGAUGAGCUCGCGGCCUAUCAGCUUGUUGGUGAGGUAACGGCUCACCAAGGCGUCGACGGGUAGCCGGCCUGAGAGGGUGACCGGCCACACUGGUACUGAGACACGGCCCAGACUCCUACGGGAGGCAGCAGUGGGGAAUAUUGCACAAUGGGCGAAAGCCUGAUGCAGCAACGCCGCGUGAGGGACGACGGCCUUCGGGUUGUAAACCUCUUUUAGCAGGGAAGAAGCGAAAGUGACGGUACCUGCAGAAAAAGCGCCGGCUAACUACGUG
Molecule: ribosomal RNA, 468 nt
Filed under: uncultured bacterium
Lineage: Bacteria
Description: partial 16S ribosomal RNA
Rfam family: Bacterial small subunit ribosomal RNA
Source: RNAcentral